This is a long non-coding RNA of Sapajus apella (tufted capuchin), 2825 nucleotides long. RefSeq lists it as uncharacterized. The record is from RefSeq and is a predicted model, not a curated record. The transcript has 3 exons. Lineage: Eukaryota; Metazoa; Chordata; Mammalia; Primates; Cebidae.
UCUAUCCCUCCCUUCCUUCCUUUUUCUUUCUCUCACUACAUUAUAAGCUCCUUUGAAGGCACAAUCAAGUCAGUCAUGUUUAUCAUAGUAUCUUAGUACCUAACAGAGUGCCUGGCAUAUAGAUAUUUAAUAAAUAUUGAAUGAAUGAAUGAGUGCAUCCACUGAAAGAAUUCAGCUAAUCUCUGUGAAAAGCCUCAUAUACAUGCAGGAUGGUGCUAGGCCCUGAGAGUGGUGGUGGAAAAGGAAAUGGACCAAUGAUGAAAUAAUUGUUCUAUGUUACUAAAAGUUGAUGCCCUUCCUAUCUAGCCAGCAUUCCACCUGGGGACUUGGCUUCUAUAAAUCAGAAGUGCCAGACAUGUGUUACCUUAUACCACAUUCUAGCUGCAUGAGCUUAGGAAAAUCAUUGAAAUCUCCUGGGGCUUCAUGUCCUUGUUUCUAAAAUAAAAUAAUGUUUACUUGUCCUAUCUACCAGGAUUGCUAUGAGGAUCAAUCCAUUUAAUGUCUAUGAACCACUCAGCAAACUUAAGUUAUUAGGUUUUUUUGGCCUAAACAGGAGAUGGUACAUACAAAACCACUAAUCCUUAUAAGAGUAAAAUGAUUAUGACACAAGAGAAGUUCAGAUAAGAUGCUAUGCAUGUGGUUCACACUGCAAUCAUAGUAAUUAGAAUAUUUCUGCUAACUCAGUAUUACUGUCUUCAAUUUUAUAUAGUAGGAAACUUAUUCAGAAAAGCCCACGGUCAUGCAGCUAAUUCUCCUUAGCAGUGCCUAGAAAACACUGGCCCCAGUUCCAGAGUAAUAUUUUUAUGAGUGUGUACAUUGGAUAGCUAGAUGUGCUCUUUCAUUGAAUUCAGUGUCUAUUCCAAAUUCAGUUCAGUUGAUUAGCAUAGAAAUACAUUAGCCAAAAGAUAGUGAUGUUGUUGUUAUUUUUCUACCAUUUUAUUUUUUGAUAUCCUUCUCGGUUCACACUUAGAUCACACAUAAAACAUGUAUCUUUUCUGCAUAUUCUUAAAGGAUCCCAAGAGGAUCUUCAGACAUAAAUCAGGAGAGGGAUAAGCCUGUGUCCAUUAAAUGAUAAAAUAAUAUUCAAAUUACAGAAAUUUCCCUUGCAUCAUUGGUUCAAGGGAAAAAAGAAUUGGAGUUCUUGUUCAAAUGAAGAGGCAGUCAGUUUCAAAUAAGCGUCAGCUAGAGGACUGUAGUUUGUCUUCAUCUCCCACUCAGGACAUUCUGUCAGAAUAAAGAUGUCAUGUUACCCCAGGAGAAAUGUAUCCUUGGAGAAGGACAGUGCAGGUUAAGCAUGUCCAUCAACAUGAGCUUAGCACAUUACCAACAAGUCGUUUGUUUUCUUACUCUGCAACAAGUUACCCUUGUGAACUGGAUUGGGUUCUCUAUGCAGAAUUCCAUAUCUCUGCUGCUGUGGGUGUUGGAGCCGGAAGGAAUAGGGCAUGUCCCUGCAAAGCCUGUUGGCUGCUUUCUUGUGCCACUCAAGUUGAAAAAGGCACAUUACAUGUGUCCCUUUGGGGUCUGGGAAGUGGGUUCCAGGAAACGACAGUGAAAACCAAAUCAGCACUUCUUCCAGGUUUUAUCAUGAAUUACAAUACGCUUCAAACAUCAACCUAACCAACCCAGCUUCCCAGCUAAUCCCAAAGGCAUUAACUCUUUCUGUUCAAGGGGGCUCAAACUCUGAGCUAGCAGAAGUGUGUAUUCAUUCUAAAACUGGAACAUAACAGGAUAAAAUAGACCAUUUGAGUUUUCCUUAAAGCUUGACUCUUCUUCGCUGUUUCAAAAUCUCUGCUUCUGACUCACCAUUUGUACUGAACCAAAAUGACCAGGACUCCAAAGGAUAAAACCACAUCAACACUUUACAGCCACAGUAAUAUCUCUGCCCUGCCAAGGUUCUAGGUUCAGGUUUUACCUAAAAGGCCUCAAGGACUUGAUACAUGUGAGUCCUGGACUCCUCUCUUAGGUAGACCUUGUAAUUAAGUCCACCUUGGUGCUUCUUGCCGGUUAGGCUGGUUUUGCAGACUAAUCUGGAGUCUUGCUUUUGACACCAGGGAACCUGCCUGUUCCUCCCUGCCUUGUCUGCUGUAGAGCACUGAUCAGUAAGCCACAAGUCGUGGAUUUGAUUCCUGAUGUAGAGACUUGCUAGUUGUGGCUGCAUAGGCAAGCCAGCUUAACCUCCUUGUGUCUCUAUGCCUUUGUUUUUUAAAUCUGCAAAAUGGGGUUUCAUUAGUUGCUUAUAUGGAUGCUACGAUAAUUAAAGAAAUAAUGAAUGCAGAAGUUGCCUUUUGAACAGCUGGUACAUGAGAUGGUCUCAAGCAAUCUUAAUUAUAGUUGGGUGUUUAUCUGUGCCUCUAAUAUCUAUCUCCUUACAGCUUUUGUAUCCUCCAGAUGCUUCCAAUGCAGGCUUCAGCUGCCUUACCCUUCUUCCUUGUUAUUUAUACUCCUUCAAGUGCACACACUGACCUUUGCAUUUGAUGCUUGGAAAAUAAUUUGUUUCAACAUUCUAUGUCUAUGUCAAUUAAAAUAAAUUUAACGCAUUUCUUAAGCCCUCCACAUUCAUUUCUACUGGAAAAACCCAAAUGCAAAUGAGACAUCUGGUUCUCAUGCACAGAUGGUCUGUGCAUUAUUUGUGUCUUUGUCAAAUCAAGCUAAUGUGAAACCCCAUGUCAUACAGUAGGUGUGUCCUCUAUUUCUUUGCUAGGGAUUAUAUAUGAUGAAUAAAAAUGACCAGGAUAUGAAGAAAAUUCUUUCUGAAGUCACACUGAUUUGUGUUUUGCUGUAAGUCAAAUCAUUUGAUUAUUCUGAUAAAAUAUUUGUCGAGUUUU